UCACUGCCACUUGGUAUGAUGGUAUCCCUUGUCCUUGUACUGGAUAAGGGGAAUAACCUUCGUAGGAUUUUCUAUGGUCCAAGAAUUCCAGGUAGAGAUAUAAGAUGCAUCGUAGUGUUGAUACCAGUGAGUUACCCGCACCACGUGACAGGCCGAAAUUAAAUAAUAAUAAAAAAUAUUUAAUAAUAAUAUAAUAAUAAUUUAAAAAAUAAUAAUUUUUAGUUAGAAUUAUAUUAUUUAUCUCUAAAAAAAAUUAUUUUAGUUCUAUUUGUCAUUUUUGAUAGUA
Molecule: long non-coding RNA, 286 nt
Filed under: Elaeis guineensis (African oil palm)
Lineage: Eukaryota; Viridiplantae; Streptophyta; Magnoliopsida; Arecales; Arecaceae
Description: long non-coding RNA (EGUI_LNC020960)
Source: RNAcentral